Molecule: ribosomal RNA, 636 nt
Filed under: Axonchium gigas
Lineage: Eukaryota; Metazoa; Nematoda; Enoplea; Dorylaimida; Belondiridae
Description: SSU rRNA
Rfam family: Eukaryotic small subunit ribosomal RNA
Source: RNAcentral
GGCGAUCAGAUACCGCCCUAGUUCUAACCGUAAACGAUGACAACCAGCGAUUAAUCGGCGUUAAUAUACGACCCGAUUAGCAGCUUCCGGGAAACCAAAGUUUUUCGUUUCCGGGGGAAGUAUGGUUGCAAAGCUGAAACUUAAAGGAAUUGACGGAAGGGCACCACCAGGAGUGGAGCCUGCGGCUUAAUUUGACUCAACACGGGAAAACUCACCCGGCCCGGACACCGUAAGGAUUGACAGACUGAGAGCUCUUUCUUAAUUCGGUGGGUGGUGGUGCAUGGCCGUUCUUAGUUGGUGGAGCGAUUUGUCUGGUUAAUUCCGAUAACGAACGAGACUCUGGCCUAUUAAAUAGACGGUAUAUUAAAAAGUAUAUCGAGCUUCUUAGAGGGACAAGCGGCGUCUAGCCGCAUGAAAUAGAGCAAUAACAGGUCUGUGAUGCCCUUAGAUGUCCGGGGCUGCACGCGCGCUACACUGAAAGAAUCAGUGUGCAUUUUGCCUAGUUCGGAAGAACCGGGUAACCCAAGUAAAUUCUUUCGUGCUUGGGAUAGGGAAUUGAAAUUAUUUCCCUUAAACGAGGAAUUCCCAGUAAAUGCGGGUCAUAAGCUCGCGUUGAUUACGUCCCUGCCCUUUGUA